AAUAAAAAUGAAAAUCACUUGCUCUACUGCGUUUGCCAAUUUCCUGAAGAUGUAGUUCCGCCUCUACCAAAAGUUUAUAAUAAUUCUUCGAAAGGCGGCUUUAAAGAUUGUGAUACUACAAAGUACCGAGUUCGCUCAAAAAACUACUUGACAACAAAAUUUAAAGAAUUUUCGGGGCCAGCUAAAUUUGAAUUACUUGGCGUGGAUUUUUUUAAAAAUUAUAAUCACAAUAAGUUAACUCACUAUGGCAGCCAUCCUCAAGGUCUGGUCCAGGUUGCGAUCAGGGAGAAUAAAGAAACAA
Molecule: long non-coding RNA, 301 nt
Organism: Zophobas morio
Lineage: Eukaryota; Metazoa; Arthropoda; Insecta; Coleoptera; Tenebrionidae
Exons: 3
Source: RefSeq, a predicted model, not a curated record